ACAGCAGUAGCCGCGGGAACACGUAGGUGGCAAGCGUUGUCCGGAAUUAUUGGGCGUAAAGGGCUCGCAGGCGGUUUCUUAAGUCUGAUGUAAAAGCCCCCGGCUCAACCGGGGAGGGUCAUUGGAAACUGGGAAACUUGAGUGCAGAAGAGGAGAGUGGAAUUCCACGUGUAGCGGUGAAAUGCGUAGAGAUGUGGAGGAACACCAGUGGCGAAGGCGACUCUCUGGUCUGUAACUGACGCUGAGGAGCGAAAGCGUGGGGAGCGAACAGGAUUAGAUACCCCGGUAGUCCCUGUCUCUUAUAC
RNAcentral lists this ribosomal RNA (305 nucleotides) under uncultured bacterium. RNAcentral describes it as "partial 16S ribosomal RNA". It matches the Rfam family "Bacterial small subunit ribosomal RNA", at positions 506 to 807 of the family's 1533-position model. The record is from RNAcentral.